This 466-nucleotide ribosomal RNA is filed under the name uncultured bacterium. RNAcentral describes it as "partial 16S ribosomal RNA". It matches the Rfam family "Bacterial small subunit ribosomal RNA", at positions 28 to 507 of the family's 1533-position model. The record is from RNAcentral.
GACGAACGCUGGCGGCGUGCUUAACACAUGCGAGUCGAACGGAAAGGCCCAGCUUGCUGGGUACUCGAGUGGCGAACGGGUGAGUAACACGUGGGUGAUCUGCCCUGCACUCUGGGAUAAGCCUGGGAAACUGGGUCUAAUACCGGAUAUGACCAACUGUCGCAUGGUGGUUGGUGGAAAGCUUUUGCGGUGUGGGAUGGGCCCGCGGCCUAUCAGCUUGUUGGUGGGGUAAUGGCCUACCAAGGCGACGACGGGUAGCCGACCUGAGAGGGUGAUCGGCCACACUGGGACUGAGACACGGCCCAGACUCCUACGGGAGGCAGCAGUGGGGAAUAUUGCACAAUGGGCGCAAGCCUGAUGCAGCGACGCCGCGUGAGGGAUGACGGCCUUCGGGUUGUAAACCUCUUUCACCAGGGACGAAGCGUGAGUGACGGUACCUGGAGAAGAAGUACCGGCCAACUACGUG